Molecule: unclassified non-coding RNA, 1058 nt
Filed under: Hevea brasiliensis (rubber tree)
Lineage: Eukaryota; Viridiplantae; Streptophyta; Magnoliopsida; Malpighiales; Euphorbiaceae
Source: RNAcentral
GUUGAGGCUGAAGUUUGGAAAGCUGUGGGCAGUAUAUAUGGUUAUAUCAAGGAGAAUGAACUAAGUAUCUAGUUGGGAAUUGUGGCAGAGCACGCAUUUACCACUACCUCGUCAGUUCAGGUGGAACUUAUAGGCUCAAGGAUUGUAGAAAAUAAUAAUAUUUUGAUGGUCAUGUUAGGAAGGAAGUACAGGGAGAAUCAUCUAUGGUGAAUAUCCUAGUGGUAACCAAUCGCUGAGUUAAAAUUCUGAAAGUAACAGAGUUAGUAAUCAAGUUGAGAAUAAAAAGUAUAAAGGGUACAAUUAAUGCUAAUGGGAUGAAUAUCGUCAAGAGAAAGGCACAAGGCAAAGAAAGACAAAGAGGAAUAGUAUGAGAAGAACACUAAAGAAUGUCUAGGGCAAGUUAUUGUAAAAUGGCAGGUUAAGGGAAUAGUGGAGCCUCGAUCUAAGUACCAAUAUUUUAAGAAAAUACCUCAAAUAAUAAGAAGUUUUAAGCAGAAAGCAAAGAACUCCCUUUUCUAGAAAAGAUGGUAGGAUAUGAUAAGUUGUUUAAACUGGGUGGCUUAGGAAUACAUAAACUUUUGUUAGGUCAGAGAAGAUAUCCAAUCCACUUUCUAAUAUUGAUAGAUAGAAUAUGAACGCUCAACGCUUAGAUGGAGCUCUACAUAACUAGUUACAUAAGAUUGGCAUGAGUUGAUUUGAGAACCUUAGUAAUGACACAAAGGAGAUUGAAAAUCGAAGUAUCAUGGGAGUGAAAAGAUGCAUAGGUACUAACCAUUGAAGUCAAAGGACAAGUAAAGAUUUAGAAUAAGAUGCCUAUGAUAGGUGCUACAGGAAACAUCUUAUAAAAUAUUAUAGGAUAAGGAACAUAAGUCAGGUCCUUGGGAAGCAGAAGGUUAAGGGGUAAGUGCCAAGGUUGAUUGAUGUUAAGAGACAUAAAGUCAAGUAUAGAGAGGUAUAGUGAAUACUUGAGAUGUCAAAAAAAUGGUCAAUGAAUAGUUAAGAGAUGAGAGCAUCUCUAGUAAAAAAAAAAAUAAUGACAGUUAGGGCACUACAGUAAA